GAUGAACGCUGGCGGCGUGCCUAACACAUGCAAGUCGAACGGAGUCCAGCCUUUAAGACCUUCGGGCCAAAGAGGGGAAGACUGAGUGGCGGACGGGUGAGUAACACGUGGGCAACCUGGCUCAUAUAGGGGGAUAACAGAGAGAAAUUUCUGCUAAUACCGCAUAAGCACACACUGCCGCAUGGCAGAGGGUGAAAAGAGAAUCGCUAUGAGAUGGACCCGCGUCUGAUUAGCCAGUUGGCAGGGUAAGAGCCUACCAAAGCGACGAUCAGUAGCCGAUCUGAGAGGAUGAACGGCCACAUUGGGACUGAGACACGGCCCAAACUCCUACGGGAGGCAGCAGUGGGGGAUAUUGCACAAUGGGGGGAACCCUGAUGCAGCGACGCCGCGUGAGUGAAGAAGUAUUUCGGUAUGUAAAGCUCUAUCAGCAGGGAAGAUAAUGACAGUACCUGAAGAAGAAGCCCCGGCUAACUACGUG
RNAcentral lists this ribosomal RNA (478 nucleotides) under uncultured bacterium. Its description in RNAcentral is "partial 16S ribosomal RNA". It matches the Rfam family "Bacterial small subunit ribosomal RNA", at positions 28 to 507 of the family's 1533-position model. The record is from RNAcentral.